UGUGGGCCCGAGGGUCCAUAGAUGACGUUAUCAGUUCAUAGGCAUUUAGUCUGGUGUUCGAGGAAAACAAGGGUGCAGCUUAAGCGAAAAGAAAAACGUCUUAUUGCUAGUGUCUAAACUCAUAACAGCAGAAUGUGUUUCCGACUAUGUGUAUUAUAUGGAUACACAUGUACUUAAAACAGCGCUGCCUG
Molecule: non-coding RNA, 191 nt
Organism: Pteropus alecto (black flying fox)
Lineage: Eukaryota; Metazoa; Chordata; Mammalia; Chiroptera; Pteropodidae
Source: Rfam